Gadus morhua (Atlantic cod) is the source of this 1547-nucleotide long non-coding RNA. The record is from Ensembl. NCBI's taxonomy places the organism in Eukaryota, Metazoa, Chordata, Actinopteri, Gadiformes, Gadidae.
UGAUGAGGAUAAUCUACUACUGAGUGUGUAGGGAGGUAUUCUAUUUUUUUCAACGGGGCUGAAUCCAGUCACUUGACCGUCAUGGUUGCUAUGGUCAGUGGUGUAGUCUACGUGAUACGCAGGUAUACGCCGUAUACCCACUAGGAACGCACCAGGAUUUGCGUAUACCCAUUUAAAAAUGUGCACGGAUACGUAUCAAUCGUCUUGUGACAGAUCUUUCACUUCUGUGUUUAUUUUUCGCAAAUACCGGUUGGGUAUAACUGCAAUAAAAUACUUUUAGCAGGGGAAGUUAUCUCCUACAUUCACCAUUCAUGGCUCUGCCAUGUCUCUGUUACGAAGCGCGAAGCUGCCCCUGCAUCUCUGCACGUUAGUUGGCGGGCCGAGCCCCUCCUUCUCGCGUGUGUGUGCGCGCGUGUGUGCGUGCGUGUCCACUCCAGUCCUCACAUAUUAAUGUGUAAACCACAUAACAAGUAGUCAACAGAAGACAAUGUUUUAAUCCCACUUUGUAUCUCCUUGUUACUUUUAGAUGAGAACCCCUGGCCAGCCUUUCGGACUGGGUGUCAGGCUAGGGAAUUUAAAAACAGGCAUCCUUGGUUAGAGUGGAGGGAAAAAAAGUUCGGUAAAUGUCAGCUGGUAUACACAAUUGAAAUUCAUAAUGUUAAUCACUAAGCAAAUGAGAGUAUAGCUAAUUCAUGGUCAUUUUUAAGGUGCACUAAUUUCACACUUUUACACAAUUCAAUUACUGUAUGGUAUGUUAGAUAACAACAGUAAAGAGCUCAAAUUAGAGCAAUUGAAAGAGUGAAACAUUAGUCUCCUGUCAUCUCCUUCUCAUGCACCGGUUAGCCAUGGUUGUAAACAGUUCAUUCAAUUAUUUUGAGUAGAUUUUGUCCUUGUUUAGCAUGUGCUAUUGCUACUAUAGAUAUACAAAGGACAACUUGUCAUUUUUGUGUUCUGUUUGUUCAUACUGUUAUUAAAACUGAUAAACCUACUCAGCUUUCCAUGAUUGUUGAUAAUCGUUAUACUCUUAAAUCAGCGGGUUGUAGACCCCUCCGUUGGUGAGUGUGGUGCGACACCCCAUAAGCGCCACACACGUACACGUACCGGUGGGACGGGUUUGUACGAGGCUGGGAGGGAAUCAUCACAGUAUACCUACUACAAUAAAAUAGACUACACCACUGAUUAUAGCCUAAUGAUCAAUUAGGAGGCCGAAGCCCUAAAGGAAGUGAUGCAAUAGGUGACUGAGUCGACAACAUUUAAGUAAGCUGUAAAGCGUCUCUUGUAUAUCAAAGGGGGUCUCAAAGGACGCAUAAGCUUCAACCUGUGGCUCCAUACAGGAAAUGACUCAGCAAGUGCUCCAUCUCGUUGCAACUCACCCAGCGGCUCGCUUGCAAGAUUUUGGCCUGAAGUUCUUCCCAGACCUACACCCUAGCCAUCCAACAUGCAUAUCUGAGAAUCAGGCCUCUCUUUAAUAAUGACAAAAAGUUAUGAGAGAAACACACAUUAACUUUUUGUUAUCUCAUAAGCGGCGUGGUGCCGGCUCCUUUUGA